RNAcentral lists this ribosomal RNA (648 nucleotides) under Triticum aestivum (bread wheat). RNAcentral's name for it is "partial small subunit ribosomal RNA". Lineage: Eukaryota; Viridiplantae; Streptophyta; Magnoliopsida; Poales; Poaceae. The record is from RNAcentral.
AUGAGGACACUGGAGCCCCUCUCAAACCUAUCCUCUCUUGUCAGACUAGAAUUGUUGCAUUGCGGACAGGAUCUAAAAUGUCAGGGCUUGUGGUCUCUCCUUACCACCGGGGGCCAGCUCAACAAAUUAGAGGUCAAGGACAGCCCUAGAUUCUUUGUUGAUUGGGAUCCCAAUCCCAGACGGGCUUUGGAGGAUGCUGAGGGAGGUGAAGAGCAGCAGACACAGCUUGUUUCAUCCACACUGCGUGAGCUCGAGAUAGAGGUCAUGUCAGGGCUUCUUGCUGCACCCGUCUGCAGAUUCCUCUCUUCCUCCCUCACCAAGCUGCGACUUUGGGAGCUUUCGCGUGAAGGGAUGAAGCGGUUCACCAAGGAGCAAGAGGACGCCCUUCAACUCCUCUCCUCCCUCCAAACACUAGAGUUUUUGCAUUUCGAGGACCUUCAACAACUCCCUGCAGUGCUGCGUAACCUUACCAGCCUCAAGAUAUUAUCAGUCAGCUUAUGUACAGCCAUCUCGUCGUUGCCCAACGAUGCCCUCCCUGAUUCACUCGAAAUGCUAGAUGUCUAUGACUGCAGCGAGGAGCUAAAAGAGACGUGCAGGGGGUUAGUGGGAACCAUCCCCAAAAUCAUAAUAGACAGAGAAACAUACUGA